CCGCUUCUGGAGGGGCUUGCGGUCGAUUAGCUAGUUGGUGGGGUAAUGGCCUACCAAGGCAACGAUCGAUAGCUGGUCUGAGAGGACGGUCAGCCACACGGGGACUGAGAUACGGCCCCG
This 120-nucleotide ribosomal RNA is filed under the name uncultured bacterium. Its description in RNAcentral is "partial 16S ribosomal RNA". It matches the Rfam family "Bacterial small subunit ribosomal RNA", at positions 215 to 334 of the family's 1533-position model. The record is from RNAcentral.